Molecule: ribosomal RNA, 253 nt
Filed under: uncultured bacterium
Lineage: Bacteria
Description: partial 16S ribosomal RNA
Rfam family: Bacterial small subunit ribosomal RNA
Source: RNAcentral
UACGUAGGCAGCGAGCGUUGUUCGGAGUUACUGGGCGUAAAGAGUGCGUAGGCGGUUUUCUAAGUUUGGUGUGAAAUCUCCCGGCUUAACUGGGAGGGUGCGCCGAAGACUGGAAGGCUUGAGUAUGGGAGAGGUAAGCGGAAUUCCUGGUGUAGCGGUGAAAUGCGUAGAUAUCAGGAGGAACACCUGCGGUGAAGACGGGUUGCUGGGCUGACACUGACGCUGAGGCGCGAAAGCCAGGGGAGCAAACGGG